Molecule: ribosomal RNA, 444 nt
Filed under: uncultured Flavobacterium sp.
Lineage: Bacteria; Pseudomonadati; Bacteroidota; Flavobacteriia; Flavobacteriales; Flavobacteriaceae
Description: bacterial SSU rRNA
Rfam family: Bacterial small subunit ribosomal RNA
Source: RNAcentral
AACGCUAGCGGCAGGCUUAACACAUGCAAGUGUAGGGGUAGAAGGAGCUUGCUCCUUUGAGACCGGCGCACGGGUGCGUAACGCGUAUGCAAUCUACCUUGUACAGGGGGAUAGCCCAGAGAAAUUUGGAUUAAUACCCCAUAGUAUUUUCAGAUGGCCUCAUUUGAUUAUUAAAGUUCCAACGGUACAAGAUGAGCAUGCGUCCCAUUAGCUAGUUGGUGUGGUAACGGCAUACCAAGGCAACGAUGGGUAGGGGUCCUGAGAGGGAGAUCCCCCACACUGGUACUGAGACACGGACCAGACUCCUACGGGAGGCAGCAGUGAGGAAUAUUGGUCAAUGGGCGCAAGCCUGAACCAGCCAUGCCGCGUGCAGGAUGACGGUCCUAUGGAUUGUAAACUGCUUUUGUACAGGAAGAAACCCUCCCUUGUAAGGGAGCUUGACGG